Molecule: ribosomal RNA, 1274 nt
Filed under: Cotesia vestalis (diamondback moth parasitoid)
Lineage: Eukaryota; Metazoa; Arthropoda; Insecta; Hymenoptera; Braconidae
Description: 16S ribosomal RNA
Source: RNAcentral
AUAAAAAUAAUUUUUAUUUAUAUUUUUUUAAAAUUUUAUUUUAAUUUAAUAAAUUAAAAUUUUAUGUUAAUAAAAAUUUUAAUUAAUUUUUAAAUUUAUAAAAAUUUAAUUUUUCAUAUUAUUAAUAAAAAAGAAUAAUUUAUUUUUUUUUCCUUUUGUAUCAGGAUUAAUUAAAAAAUAAUAUAUAAUUAUAUUUUUCUCGAAUUUAAAAAAUUUAAAUUUUUAUUUUUAUUAAUAUAAAAUUAUUAAAUAAAAUAUAAAUUUAGAAACUAUAUAUUAAACAAUUUUAAAUAUAUCUAGUUAUUUAAAAAAUAAAUUUAAUUUAUUUUUAAUUUUUUAUUAAUUUUAAUUAAAAAUUAAUAUUAAUUUUAAAAAAAUAAUUUAAGGGAUAAACUUUAAUUUUUUUUUAUAAAUUAAAUUAAUAAAUUUUAUAAUUUAAAAAUAAAAUUAUUUUUAAUUAAAAAAUAUUUAAUAAUUUUAUAAAAUAUAAAUUAAAAUUUAAAUAAAAUUUUAAUUAAUUAUUAAAUUAUAAAAUUUAAUUAUUAAAUUUUAAAAAUAAUGAUUAAAUUAGUAAUAUUAAAUUUAUUAAAUUUUAUAAUUUUUAAAUUUAAAAUUAAAUUUAAUAAACUUGGCAAAUUUUAUAUUCACCUGUUUACCAAAAACAUGUCUUAAUGAAAAUAAUUUUAAGUCUAAUCUGCUCAAUGAAUAAUUUUAAAUAGCUGCAGUAUAAAUAACUGUACAAAGGUAGCAUAAUAAUUUGUUUUUUAAUUGAAAACUAGAAUGAAUGAUUAAAUGAAAUAUAAACUAUAUCAAAUUUAAAAAAUAAAUUUAUUAUUUAAAUAAAAAAAUUUAAAUAAUUUUUAAAGACGAGAAGACCCUAAAGAAUUUUAAUAAUAAAUUAUAAUAUUAUAUAAUAAUUUAUUAUAUUAAUUGGGGAAAUUUUAAAAUUUAAAAAAUUUUUAAUUAAAUAAACAUAAAUUUUUGAAUACUUAAAAUUUUUUUAAAAAAUUAAAUAAAUUACCUUAGGGAUAACAGCAUAAUUUUUUUAAAAAGUUCAAAUUUAUAAAAAAGUUUAUGACCUCGAUGUUGAAUUAAGAUUAAAUUUAAUAGAAAAAUAUUAAAAAUUUAAGUCUGUUCGACUUUUAAAAUCUUACAUGAUUUGAGUUAAGAUCGGUGUAAGCCAGAUCGGAUUCUAUCUUAAAAAUAAUUAAAUAUUUUUGUACGAAAGGAAUUUAUAUUUAAAAUAAUUUUUUUAAAUAAAUUAAUUAUUAAUU